CUGAGAUCGCACUACUGCACUCCAGCCUGGGUGACAGAGUGGGACUCUGUCUCAAAAAAUAAUUUUAAUGAAACCUGCCUCCCAAACAUUAUAUUGCAGCAAUCUUAGAAGAAUGCACCACCUCUGGAAUAGAGAAGCAGUUGGGAAAGAAGUGUUUCAUGUUUCCUACACCUGGGCAACAGGCAGGCCCCUGACAACCACAAGUAAUUCUUUCCUGAGAGCCGGGAUCUUGCAACAGCUUGUCAUUAGUGCUGUUUAGCAUUUAAUUUGCCUUUAGUUAGGUAACAAGCAUUUAUGGAUUACCUGUUAGGAACGAAUGCACAGUAUGGGAACAGAGGGAUGAAUGAGGCACAGACUCUGCUCACAGCCUACUUGGACUAGAAAUAUCUACUCAGGAAAGAAAACUUGAAAGCAGUUAGCAAAUGCAAACCGAUAUACCACUACAGGGAAUCAUCACUCUUUCCGAAUUCAAGGCUCUAACUGCUGGCACACUUCUAAGGAAAAAAGAUAUGCGUUUCUGCAUCCCGUCUCAUGAUGGGAGUGAAGAUAUGCCAGUCACGCCUUCUGUGGGCUAAGGAACGGUCCGGCCUUCUCUUCCUCUGCAGAGUCCGGGCGUGAUGGAGACGCAGGAUGGAGGCAGCCAUCACCCAUUGAAAAACAGCCUGUCUGCCAGAUCUGGUGACCCCCCCCUAAGGUCCUUGGUAAAAACUGAGGCCUAGUUGUGUCCAGGAUGGCAGUGAGCUGGGAUUCAUUCAUGGCAGCCCCCAGGAGAUUGCGUUUUUAAACCAGCCCAAGGCAUGUGGUGGACAUGGAUUGGCAGCACCUACAGAUAACGGGGAAGGCUUUCCAAGGGGCCAAACGGUCCAUAGCAGUUAGGGAAGCGAACGUUAGAAGUGCAGGUCAAGGUCUCAGAGUGAGCAGUGUGGCUGGGCCAGAGAGGGCCUUCCAAGUGCAUAGCCAGUGGAGGCAGCUGGACACAGCUGACAUGACAAGGCAAGGCUGGAUCCGUCAGACUCUGGGAAUGCUCCCAGCCAUCAGGCUUCACGGAGCACUGCUUCUGUGCUAAGUUCCUGAUGCCAAGGAAAGUGAGAGAGACAUGGCCCUGGCCUCAAGAAGCUUUCCCGGCAGAUGGCCGUGUAUCCGGGAUAUGUUAAGGGAGGUGUAAUAUUAACCAAAAGUGGAGCUCUGAGCUCCUACCCUUGGCAGAGGGCUUCUUGGAGUAGAUCAUGCCUGGACUGUGCCCAAGGGCGUCUUGGAGUAGAUCGUGCCUGGAUCGCACUGAAUCAGUGUAAGCUGGGUCAAGUCGGGGAAUGGCAACCCAGGCGGAGGGAAGUGCAUACUUGGGACACGGAGGGCACAGACAAGCCGUGGUUCUCUGGCAGUGAGAUGGGUGCCAGGCCACAAACUGGAUCUGAGAGAUUAUUUCCCCAUCUGGGAACUGCAUGUACUAUGGAUUGUAAAGGGUCAACCUGAGAGACAGAAACAGGGAAAAGGCCCUCAACCAUUCACUUCAGUGUCUGGGGAUGCGUGGACUGGGGAAGAGUCUCUGGCUGGCUCCAAUGCGGUCUCUGCUUCUGCAGAGGGGGCCUUGCUCACACAGUCUUCAGACUUGCAUUCCCAGCUGGUGCCCAGCACCACGAAUAUAUGGGAAGAUAACAACUCUAAAGAGGGAUAAAAUGUAUUUUUUGGUCGGUUUUUAUUUUUCAAACACAUUUAGCAUUCUCUGGUUUUUAAAAAAUGCUUUUAAUAGAGCACAGACUCCUUUCCUCAGUGGUGAGGAGACAGAUUUAAGGGCUGUAGCUCAGACAGUCAGUGCCAGCUAGCAUUCAGGGAUCCAAGUGUGAGAAUCAAAUUGUCGUUUGAUGUGUGGAUUUGGCAAAGGCUCAGCACGCCUUGGAGACGGUGCCCGUGGCCCACACUGGGUGGCAGGUGCUUCUGCCUUGGGCUCUCUGCUCCUGCCGGCCGGGCCUGUCAUCGGCUGAAAAGCCGGCAUCUCCCACACCCAUCAGCUCCUCUCUGGAGCUGAGUCGCUGGACACUGUGACCACACUUAAGAGGCACAGCAUGCUCCUGCUGGGUGGAAUUUUAGGACACCUGGUCUGUGACCUCUUCAUUAUGACAUAAAAGGGACCUUCCCUGCAGUCCCACAAAUAGGAACAGAGCAGCACUGGAGCUGGCGCCCGACUCCCGGCAGGGAAGGGUUCUGUCCUCAUUUGGGCGUAUUCUGUUUCUGCCCACCUGGUGUGUGCCCUCCCUGACUCCUGCCCCAUUUCCAGACCCGGCUCACGCGUACUUCUCACACUAAGCAGUCUCACUGAAGCCACCGCUUGGAAUCUGCGGUGUUUACUGUCUGCCCCGCCCCUUUUGUUUGCCCGUUUGUUAUGGAGGUGUGUGUUUAAACGGGCAAAGCAGCGUGCUGCCAGGGACACCAGGAAAGCCCACUUAGCCAUCAACUGGAGACUCUGACAACUAGAAGAAACCUGGAAGGCCACGUGACAGAUAUGGAGACAGGCUGAGAGAAGGCAAGGGUCAUACAUGCCUGGGUCAUGCAGCCAGCCAGGGACAAAGCCGGGACUUUAGAGCCCAGGUCCUCUGCUCCCUGCCAGGCCUCCUUCCACAAGGACGUGGGCGAUUGCUGAGAGCAGAGCCCCGAGGGAAUGGAAUGGAGGGAACUUGAUUAGAAGGGGGAGAAUACCAAGCACAGGGCCUUGCAGAGCAGGUGCUCCUAAAUGCCCAAGAGAUGCAGGAAGAGAGGGAGAGAUGGGAGUGUCAAGGAAGGGUCUCAGUAGCUCUAUGGGCACCACGUUUCUGGGCUUGGGACAGAGAAAGAAGGGCAGAAGGAAGGGCACCGGAAACACAGCUACACCUAGAUUUGGAAAGCCAGUGACCUCGGAAAGGAUGGUCCGGACAUGGGGAAGACCACGAGCCAGGCUGCACUUGUAGGAAGGACCAGGACCUGAGCCACUGGCAGUAAAGAAAUGUCACUAAGGAAGUGGGGGCAAUGGCAGGAAGUGGGGGUCCAGGGUAAGGAGACAGGAGGCCAGGCUGGGUCUUGUUUGGGAAGAUGCAGCCUCCAUGGGCCAAGCAGGAACAGUAGGAAAACCCUGACGGUGCAGUCCCCACUCUCAGGACGUCCCUGUCUCCAAAGGAAACAGCCACACAACACUGAGGUGGGGCGGUGAGGAAAGCAGGGAUCGCUGGGGAGUGUGGGGGAUGCACUUGUCCAGCAGAGGAGGCAGGGCUGGGCGGCUCAGUUGAGGGAAGUGAUGAUUCUGAGGGCCCUGGCUGGGGUGGCGGCUGCAGAGGGUGGCUCAGAGUGGAGGGGCUGUCCCAGGAGCUGGUGAGCUUACCGGGGACAAGAUGUCCCUUGUCAGGGAUGUCACAGAGGCUGUUCCUCAGCUGGGUCAUGCUGGGUCACCUGACCCAGGGGCCCUCCCUGUCUUAAAAUGCACGUUGUACAAUAAAGAGUGGAAGAGGAUGUCAAUGGGCAGGAAUGGAGCCAAACUCUACGGGAGAACGGAGCUGGCCAGGCAGAGCUGCUGGACACCUGAGGCUCCCUCCUUCCACCACAAACACCACUGCCCCAUGGCCUAGAGAGAACCAUCCUCUGACGUGAGCAGGACAAUGACGAUCACCACUGUGUAAAUCCUGACACUGGACCAGAGGAAUUGACUUACCUGCUUCAGCUCCAGGUGAGCACAGCCAGAACCAUGCUCAGAAGCCAGCACACGAAGGCCUGCAACUGCAGACCCCUAAGAAACCUUGGAGAUGCUCUCAGACAGUGCCCACCUCACUUUGCAGAUGGAGUGACUCACAGCUGGGACAAAGGUCCACUCGCUCUUGCCCCUGCAGUCUACCCACAAAGCAGCCAGGAGAGCUUCUAAAAAUGCAAAGCAGGUGGCGUUCUUCUGAAUAAGCCCUCCCAUGGCUCCCUAUCUUAGUACAAAAGCUGAAAUCUCAUGACCUGUGAGGCCCUCCAGCUGGCUCGCAGCCACCCCUCCAAAACCGAGUGCCUGCCAGCGCAUUGCCCACCCAGCUGCAGCCAGGCCCCCCACUGCUCAGCACCAUCUCCUCAGAGGCCCCCCCAUUCUUCCACGGGCAUGUUCCCUAUCCCCUUAGAGCACGCUUGGGCCUGAACUGAUCUUGGGUUCUGUCGCCUGUCUACCCCACUGGAAUGCAAACUCCACAGAGGCAGGGCUUUCUCUGUCCCCUGCCGCAUCCACAGUGCCGGGAACAGUGCCUGGCAUGGAGCAGGUGCAGUCGAAUGACCGACUCCAUGAAGUGAGGUGAGUCACCCACCACGCAGGGAAGAGUGGACAUGGGUAAACAGGCGCUGCCUGGGCUCCAGGCACACUGACUGCAUCCUGGCUGCUUGACUGAUGUGGUUAAUAAAUUACUAGAAGGCAAGCCCUCUAGGGCACAGCAGACUGGAUACUUGAUUAACCCAGGGUCUGUGUUAAUUCCAGGUGCCAAAAUAAUUUCUAGAAUUUCACCUGAGACCUAGAGGUAGUUCAUUUGAAAAUAAACAUGAUUUUCCAGAAGGCUCGAGCUUUCUCAAGGAAAGCAAUGCCCUGGACUCUCCUUCCACAGGAAAUCAGGAAGACAGGCUUUGGAAUUCCCAGUGGGGAAGCACAGUUGGAGGGGCCGGCCUCGGGCACCACAGUGCGCAACGCUGAACACAGGGCUCCCAGGCAGAGACUGGGAGGUCCCGACACCUGGACCCACAGGUGCACCCGCAUCUCCCAUGCUUUUACCCUUUCUCCUCCACCCCAUUUAUAGAAGUGAUCAGAGGUGAAUGAGGAAAUAGUGGGGGAACUGACCCCCUGGAAAGUCUGAAUUUGAGUGAAAUAAUGGGGAGAAGUGAACCCCUGGAAAGUCUGAAUUCUGCUUCAUCAAAGCCCAACACGGGCCUGUUUCCCUCUGCUGUCAACCCCAGGGAAUGGG
This 4943-nucleotide long non-coding RNA is filed under the name Homo sapiens (human). RNAcentral describes it as "HSALNT0406322". Lineage: Eukaryota; Metazoa; Chordata; Mammalia; Primates; Hominidae. The record is from RNAcentral.